This 253-nucleotide ribosomal RNA is filed under the name uncultured bacterium. RNAcentral's name for it is "partial 16S ribosomal RNA". It matches the Rfam family "Bacterial small subunit ribosomal RNA", at positions 524 to 776 of the family's 1533-position model. The record is from RNAcentral.
UACGAAGGGGGCUAGCGUUGUUCGGAAUUACUGGGCGUAAAGCGCACGUAGGCGGAUUGACAAGUUGGGGGUGAAAUCCCGGGGCUCAACCUCGGAACUGCCUUCAAAACUGUCUGUCUAGAGGUCAGGAGAGGUUAGCGGAAUACCGAGUGUAGAGGUGAAAUUCGUAGAUAUUCGGUGGAACACCAGUGGCGAAGGCGGCUAACUGGACUGAUACUGACGCUGAGGUGCGAAAGUGUGGGGAGCAAACAGG